AAAGUCUUGGUCCUGGACUUUCUAUUAUUUAAAGCCCUACCUAUACAUGCAAGCAUCCACACCCCAGUGAGUACACCCUAGUUAACAACUAGGAGUUGGCAUCAGGGAUUACCCUAAGACGCCUAGCCAUGCCACCUCCACACGGACAUGCAGCAGUAACAAACAUUAGGCAAUGGGCCAAACACAUCAUUAAGCCCGACCUAGUAAAGGCUAACAGAGUUGGCCAACUUCGUGCCAGCAGCCGCGGCUAAACGGAAAACUCAAAAUAAUAUAACCGGCACAAAGCGUGACUAGAAUCUUACACCCAAUGAAUUCAUGGAUCAACCAAAAGCUACUGGGUUAAAUACAACCACACGGGAAAUCCACUACAUAAACCAUGAUAUCACAGGCUAUUCGACUCACGAGGGCCGGGGCACAAACUAGGAUUUGAUACCCUACUAUGCCCGGCUGUAAACACACACGUCGCCAGAAAAGUAAAGGUCGCAGCCCGAAACUCAAAAGACCUGGCGGUACCCCAUACCAACCUAGAGGAGCCUGUGCCAUAAUCGAUAACCCGCGAUAAACCUCACCACCACUUGCAAAUCCAGCCUGUAUACCGCCGUCGUCAGCCUACCUUCCAAGAGCGCAGCGCAAGACAGUCCACAACACAAAAACGACAGGUCAAGGUGUAGCUAAUGAGGUGGCACGCAUGGGCUACAAUGCCACACUACCGGCCAAACGGAACCAGGGCUGAAUUAAACCCGGACAAAGACGGAUUUAGUAGUAAGAACAAUAAGAACAUUGGCCUGAAACGUCGCACUGGGGUACGCACACACCGCCCGUCACCCCCGUCUUUAAGCCAACACUUAACGAAGGGGUAAGUCGUAACAUGGUAAGCGCACCGGAAGGUGUGCUUGGAAG
This 900-nucleotide non-coding RNA is filed under the name Physignathus cocincinus. RNAcentral's name for it is "12S ribosomal RNA". It matches the Rfam family "Bacterial small subunit ribosomal RNA". The record is from RNAcentral. Lineage: Eukaryota; Metazoa; Chordata; Lepidosauria; Squamata; Agamidae.